AAGCAGAGGCGUGGCGUUUAUUUGUGAAAGUGGUUGGUGAUGUUACGAAUCAGGACUUGCGCUCUAUAGCAACUGAAGUAGCAAAAAAAUGUGCAGGUUUGCCCGUCUUAAUUGUUACAGUUGCAGGAGCUUUGAAAAAUCGGGACUUGAACGAAUGGAAUGUUGCUUUGAAAGAGUUAUCUAAGGUUGACAAUGAAGGAAUUCAGUCAAAAGUAUACGCAACUCUGAAGUUGAGCUACAACCAUUUGGCUAGUGAAGAACUGAAGUCUUUUUUUCUUGCUUUGUGCUCAAAUUGCUCAGAGUGAUAUUCAAAUCGGGGACUUGCUGUUGUACAGUAUGGGUUUGGAUUUGC
This 352-nucleotide unclassified non-coding RNA is filed under the name Hevea brasiliensis (rubber tree). The record is from RNAcentral. Lineage: Eukaryota; Viridiplantae; Streptophyta; Magnoliopsida; Malpighiales; Euphorbiaceae.